Molecule: non-coding RNA, 179 nt
Filed under: Tropicibacter naphthalenivorans
Lineage: Bacteria; Pseudomonadati; Pseudomonadota; Alphaproteobacteria; Rhodobacterales; Roseobacteraceae
Description: Ruegeria cis52 sRNA
Rfam family: Ruegeria cis52 sRNA
About the family: Cis-encoded. Targets oligo/dipeptide ABC transporter. Functions in transport.
Source: Rfam by way of RNAcentral
UGCGCAGCGCGUGUUUCAUGACGAUGUUCGGAAAGCUCACGCCUUUUAGACGCGCGGUGCGGAUAUAUUGCGCGGUCAUGACUUCGGCCAUCGACGCCCGCGUCAUCCGCGCGAUGUAGCCCAUGCCAUACAGCGCAAUGGUCAGCACCGGCAGAAAGAAGUUCUCGAAAUUUGCGUUC